RNAcentral lists this transfer RNA (68 nucleotides) under Clithon retropictum. RNAcentral's name for it is "tRNA-Pro". It matches the Rfam family "tRNA". From Rfam's summary of the family: Transfer RNA (tRNA) molecules are approximately 80 nucleotides in length. Their secondary structure includes four short double-helical elements and three loops (D, anti-codon, and T loops). The record is from RNAcentral. Lineage: Eukaryota; Metazoa; Mollusca; Gastropoda; Cycloneritida; Neritidae.
UCAAGAAGUAGUUUAAGAAAAAUACUAGCAUUGGAAGCUACUGAUCCAGGUUAAUCUGGUUUCUUGAU